CCUACGGGUGGCUGCAGUGGGGAAUAUUGCACAAUGGGGGAAACCCUGAUGCAGCGACGCCGCGUGAGCGAGGAAGUAUUUCGGUAUGUAAAGCUCUAUCAGCAGGGACGAAAAAAGACGGUACCUGACUAAGAAGCCCCGGCUAACUACGUGCCAGCAGCCGCGGUAAUACGGAGGGGGCAAGCGUUAGCCGGAUGUACUGGGUGUAAAGGGAGCGUAGACGGCUGUGCAAGUCUGAAGUGAAAGCCCGUGGCUCAACCGCGGAACUGCUUUGGAUACUGUCUGGCUUGAGUACUGGAGAGGCAGGCGGAAUUCCUAGUGUAGCGGUGAAAUGCGUAGAGAUUAGGAGGAACACCAGUGGCGAAGGCGGCCUGCUGGACAGAAACGGACGUUGAGGCUCGAAAGCGUGGGGAGCAAACAGGAUUAGAUACCCCUGUAGUC
RNAcentral lists this ribosomal RNA (441 nucleotides) under uncultured bacterium. Its description in RNAcentral is "partial 16S ribosomal RNA". It matches the Rfam family "Bacterial small subunit ribosomal RNA", at positions 338 to 795 of the family's 1533-position model. The record is from RNAcentral.